CCGUGGGUAGACUGCAGUCGAGCGCGAAUUUCAGUGUAGCAAUACAUUGAAGUUUGAGCGGCGCAAGGGUGCGUAACACGUGGGUAAUUUGCCGUGAAGUUGGGGAUAACUCGCUGAAAGGCGAGCUAAUACCGGAUGUGGAAUGAGAGUGGCAUCACUUUUCUUCUAAAGCUGGGGAUCGUAAGACCUGGCGCUUCAUGAUAAGCCCGCGGCCUAUCAGCUAGUUGGUGCGGUAACGGCGCACCAAGGCUAAGACGGGUAGCUGGUCUGAGAGGACGACCAGCCACACUGGAACUGAGACACGGUCCAGACACCUACGGGUGGCAGCAGUCGAGAAUUUUUCUCAAUGGGCGAAAGCCUGAAGGAGCGACGCCGCGUGGGGGAUGAAGGGUUUCGAUCCGUAAACCCCUGUCAUUUGUGAACAAUGGUUAUUCAUGAAUAAUGAGUGACUUGAUAGUAAUGAAAGAGGAAGGGACGGCUAACUCUGUGCCAGCAGCCGCGGUAAUACAGAGGUCCCGAGCGUUGUUCGGAUUCACUGGGCGUAAAGGGUGCGUAGGUGGCAUGGUAAGUUUGAUGUGAAAGCUCAGGGCUCAACCCUGAAAUGGCAUUGAAUACUACUGUGCUGGAGGUUUGGAGGGGGGACUGGAAUUCUCGGUGUAGCAGUGAAAUGCGUAGAUAUCGAGAGGAACACCAGUGGCGAAGGCGAGUCCCUGGACAACACCUGACACUGAGGCACGAAAGCUAGGGGAGCAGACAGGAUUAGAUACCCUGGUAGUCCUAGCCCUAAACGGUGCGCAUUUGCUGUAAGAGGAAUCGACCCCUUUUGUGGCGAAGCUAACGCGAUAAAUGCGCCGCCUGGGGAGUACGGCCGCAAGGUUAAAACUCAAAUGAAUUGACGGGGGCCCGCACAAGCGGUGGAGCAUGUGGUUUAAUUCGACGCAACGCGAAGAACCUUACCUACUCUUGAC
RNAcentral lists this ribosomal RNA (968 nucleotides) under uncultured bacterium. RNAcentral's name for it is "bacterial SSU rRNA". It matches the Rfam family "Bacterial small subunit ribosomal RNA", at positions 42 to 985 of the family's 1533-position model. The record is from RNAcentral.